CGUAGGGUGCGAGCGUUGUCCGGAAUUAUUGGGCGUAAAGAGCUCGUAGGCGGUCUGUCGCGUCGGUCGUGAAAACUUGGGGCUUAACCCUGAGCUUGCGGUCGAUACGGGCAUGACUGGAGUUCGGCAGGGGAGACUGGAAUUCCUGGUGUAGCGGUGAAAUGCGCAGAUAUCAGGAGGAACACCGGUGGCGAAGGCGGGUCUCUGGGCCGAUACUGACGCUGAGGAGCGAAAGCGUGGGGAGCGAACAGGAUUAGAUACCCUGGUAGUCCACGCCGUAAACGGUGGGCGCUAGGUGUGGGAGCCAUUCCACGGUCUCUGUGCCGCAGCUAACGCAUUAAGCGCCCCGCCUGGGGAGUACGGCCGCAAGGCUA
Molecule: ribosomal RNA, 374 nt
Filed under: uncultured organism
Description: bacterial SSU rRNA
Rfam family: Bacterial small subunit ribosomal RNA
Source: RNAcentral